GCUCAGCAGCUCUGAAAAUGUACCAGGGGCUUUCAGUCGGUCCAGAGGUAAUGAAGAGAAUGUGGCCUAUGGCAGGAAUCAGCAGUCUGUGACGAACGAUGAAGAGCUGAGCAGAACACAGUACUUUGUGGACUGGUGCCAGCAGAACCACCUCCCGAUAAACUCUGCUAAAACCAAGGAACUGGAGGUGCAUUUUCUCAGGCGCAGACCCACCAAACCGCACUGGGACUUGUUUGCCAACUAUAGAGAGACUGAGUGAGACAUUAUGUUGAUAACUUGCUCAAG
Molecule: long non-coding RNA, 285 nt
Organism: Poecilia reticulata (guppy)
Lineage: Eukaryota; Metazoa; Chordata; Actinopteri; Cyprinodontiformes; Poeciliidae
Source: RefSeq, a predicted model, not a curated record